AGCGAACGCUGGCGGCAGGCCUAACACAUGCAAGUCGAACGGAUCCUUCGGGAUUAGUGGCGGACGGGUGAGUAACACGUGGGAACGUGCCCUUUGGUUCGGAACAACUCAGGGAGACUUGAGCUAAUACCGGAUGUGCCCUUCGGGGGAAAGAUUUAUCGCCAUUGGAGCGGCCCGCGUCUGAUUAGCUAGUUGGUGAGGUAACGGCCCACCAAGGCGACGAUCAGUAGCUGGUCUGAGAGGAUGAUCAGCCACACUGGGACUGAGACACGGCCCAGACUCCUACGGGAGGCAGCAGUGGGGAAUCUUGCGCAAUGGGCGAAAGCCUGACGCAGCCAUGCCGCGUGAAUGAUGAAGGUCUUAGGAUUGUAAAAUUCUUUCAGCGGGGACGAUAAUGACGGUACCCGCAGAAGAAGCUCCGGCUAACUUCGUG
RNAcentral lists this ribosomal RNA (433 nucleotides) under uncultured bacterium. Its description in RNAcentral is "partial 16S ribosomal RNA". It matches the Rfam family "Bacterial small subunit ribosomal RNA", at positions 29 to 507 of the family's 1533-position model. The record is from RNAcentral.